Molecule: long non-coding RNA, 930 nt
Filed under: Bos taurus (domestic cattle)
Lineage: Eukaryota; Metazoa; Chordata; Mammalia; Artiodactyla; Bovidae
Description: long non-coding RNA NONBTAT026491
Source: RNAcentral
CACUUAAUAUCUGACUCACAUUUAUUAAAAAUUGAAAUUACAGAAAAGCAUGAAUAAUAUUGGCUUUAUUAAACAAGCUUAAUUAACUUACCUUUGACUAACAAAUCAAAGCAUUUAAUAUCACAAAAGGAAUUUUGAGCACGAGGUCAAUUCCAACCUCUGAAGUUAAAAACAAAUGAAAAGCAGCCAAGACAUUUUCCAAAGGAGAGAGCAACCACAGAUCUCCCUCUAGUGGCAAGAGAUAAAGUUGCUGCUGAAAAGCUGAACUGCUUCUGUACCAAUACAUAAAACUGCUCACAGACAUUACUUUUAUAUAACUUAAGAAAACUCUAGAAGGAAAAUAGAUCUGGUUUUUGUAAACAACGUUAGACCUAAUUUUCACUUACUAUGAAUUCUAAUGUCUCUAGAAAUCUGAUCUUUCCAGGAGAAAAGAGAUUUGCCAGUGACAUCUGGGGAAUUGGGACUUACACAAAACAAAAGCUACGGAGCCUUAACCAAACUGAGCAAAAGAAAAGAGAGAAAUUUUUCUGUUGAUAAAUGUUCUAGGAUGGGACAUGAAAAGGAGUAGAUUCAGAAGUAUAAAGUAGUAAGCAGCAGUGGGUUUGUAAAAAUCCAUGGUACAUCAAAAGAGACCAGCUUUUAUAUACACUGAAGUAAGUACAGAAUGUACAGAAGACAGAUAUAUAUACAAAAGUGCAUUAAUACAGUAAUACAUUUAGCAGAAAUACAGGAAAAAAAUCCUGGUUAACAAUCUGAUACAUUACAGUAUUUAAGACUACUUGAAGAUUCUCCAAACCAGUCAAUGUCCUACUUGCUUUGGUUAUGAUAUUGAUGCUACAUAACUAACCUUUGAAACUAAAACAAAAAAAUUGAAAUUUUUAACCAUCUGUGAAAUGUUUUACAUACACUUGUGUUUAUUCUUAAUAGCUU